GGCCUUUUGAGAAUAAUUUAAGGUCGGGCCUGCCCAAUGAUAGAGUUUAAUGGCCGCGGUAUAUUAACUGUGCAAAGGUAGCAUAAUCAUUAGUUUUUUAAUUGAAAGCUGGAAUGAAGGGUUUAAUGAAAAAAGUUCUGUCUUUAGCUAAAUUUUUUAGAAGUUUAUUUUUAAGUAAAAAAGCUUAAAUAAUUAUUGAAGACGAGAAGACCCUGUAGAGUUUAAUAUUUAAAUAAUAUAAUGUAUUUGGUAUUUUUAAUUUAUUUUUUUUAAGUAUUUGGUUGGGGUGACUGAAAAAUUAAAAAAACUUUUUUUAUAAUAAACAUUAAUUUAUGAUUAAAUGAUCCUUUAUUUAGAUUAAAAGAAUAAAUUACCUUAGGGAUAACAGCGUGAUUUUUUUUAGAGUUCUUAUCGAAAGAAAAGAUUGCGACCUCGAUGUUGGAUUAAAAUAAAUUAUUGGUGUAGAAGCUAAUAUGAUUAGGUCUGUUCGACCUUUAAAUUUUUACAUGAUCUGAGUUUAGACCGGUUUAAG
Molecule: ribosomal RNA, 532 nt
Filed under: Dichromacalles querilhaci
Lineage: Eukaryota; Metazoa; Arthropoda; Insecta; Coleoptera; Curculionidae
Description: partial 16S ribosomal RNA
Rfam family: Bacterial large subunit ribosomal RNA
Source: RNAcentral